CCUCUCUGCAUGGGGGUCAGCUCCUGGUGGCCUCCUGCUGGAUUUUGUGGAUGUUCGAUGCAGAUUAUUUCUCUAAAGGGUGCCUGCUCCCCAGAUUCCCUUCUUUGCAGAGCACAGAGUCCCACUGGGAGGCCUCUGUGGCCUCUGGCCAAGGAGUUCCCCAAGCCUCCUUUUUCCCCAUCUGUAAAAUGGGGACUGGUCUGUGUCUCCCACGACUGUUGAAAGGAAGACUGCAGUGGUGCAAGUGAAGCCCUUGGUGAGGAGAAGUGAGUUGGUGAAGGGCUAGAAUCUGCAGUCGAACGGAAGCCGGCUCCUUGCACUGGGUCACUCACCCUUGGAAGUCGCCCCUUCUCUGAGCCUCCAUUUCUUGCUACAUAAAACGAGGGUCCCGCAAUACUCUCUCUAGUGGCUUCUGUUUUGUGCCAUGCUGCUAUUCAUAGAUGGCAGUGCUUUUUUUUGUUUGUUUGUUUUCCAUGAUGGAGUCUCACUCCGUCUCAAAAAGAAAAAAAAAUCCAC
This 516-nucleotide long non-coding RNA is filed under the name Homo sapiens (human). Its description in RNAcentral is "HSALNT0228789". The record is from RNAcentral. Lineage: Eukaryota; Metazoa; Chordata; Mammalia; Primates; Hominidae.